UACGUAGGUGGCAAGCGUUGUCCGGAUUUACUGGGCGUAAAGAGCGCGCAGGCGGUCGUCCAAGUCGCGUGUGAAAGCCCCCCGGCUCAACUGGGGAGGGUCACGCGAUACUGAUCGACUCGAAGGCAGGAGAGGGUAGUGGAAUUCCUGGUGUAGCGGUGAAAUGCGCAGAUAUCAGGAGGAACACCGGUGGCGAAGGCGGGGUCUCUGGGCAACAACUGACGCUGAGGAGCGAAAGCGUGGGGAGCGAACAGG
Molecule: ribosomal RNA, 255 nt
Filed under: uncultured bacterium
Lineage: Bacteria
Description: partial 16S ribosomal RNA
Rfam family: Bacterial small subunit ribosomal RNA
Source: RNAcentral